Molecule: long non-coding RNA, 384 nt
Organism: Onychostoma macrolepis
Lineage: Eukaryota; Metazoa; Chordata; Actinopteri; Cypriniformes; Cyprinidae
Exons: 4
Source: RefSeq, a predicted model, not a curated record
UUUUGGAAGGAGCAUGUUAGCUACCCACAGCCUUUCUGGAAAAAUUGGAAAUGCCAACAAGGAAUCACAAGCCAAGCCCCCUCUGGACCCCACAAAAGUGGAACUUAUUAUAGACACUGUUUCGAAGAAAUUUCCAGAAACUCCACGAAAGUUUCUUCGGGCUGCUUUACGGGAAAAAUUGAAUGAUGAACAUAAACUCCUUAGCAGGCAUCAUAAGAAGGACACUGUUACGCUGCAACACUGAGUGGUGAAGCACAUAAGAGAGUCCAGAGUUAUUGGUUUCUGAAGAAUGAUGGGCCACGUUCUGUUCAGAGUGUUCAUUUUCGUCACACUUAUCUCAUUUUAUCUUUAAGCUCUUUUGACUAAUAAAUAAUUCACAAUUAA